AAACCAACAGGGAUUGCCCUAGUAACGGCGAGUGAAGCGGCAACAGCUCAAAUUUGAAAUCUGGCCCUAGGCCCGAGUUGUAAUUUGUAGAGGAUGUUUCUGGCGAAGUGCCUUCCGAGUUCCCUGGAACGGGACGCCAUAGAGGGUGAGAGCCCCGUACGGUUGGAUGCCUAGCCUCUGUGAAACUCCUUCGACGAGUCGAGUAGUUUGGGAAUGCUGCUCUAAAUGGGAGGUAUACGUCUUCUAAAGCUAAAUAUUGGCCAGAGACCGAUAGCGCACAAGUAGAGUGAUCGAAAGAUGAAAAGCACUUUGAAAAGAGGGUUAAAUAGUACGUGAAAUUGUUGAAAGGGAAGCGGUUAUGACCAGACUUGGACAGGUUGAUCAUCCACGGUUCUCUGUGGUGCACUCUGCCUGUCCAGGCCAGCAUCAGUUCGCUUCGGGGGAUAAAGACUUUGGGAAUGUGGCUCCCUCGGGAGUGUUAUAGCCCAUUGUGCAAUACCCUGAUCCGGACUGAGGUUCGCGCAUCUGCAAGGAUGCUGGCGUAAUGGUCAUCACCGACCCGUCUUGAAACACGGACCAAGGAGUCGUCUUCGUAUGCGAGUGUUCGGGUGUCAAACCCCUACGCGGAAUGAAAGUGAACGUAGGAGAGAGCUUCGGCGCAUCUCCGACCGAUCCUGAUGUUCUCGGAUGGAUUUGAGUAAGAGCAUACGGGGCCGGACCCGAAAGAAGGUGAACUAUGCCUGUGUAGGGUGAAGCCAGAGGAAACUCUGGUGGAGGCUCGCAGCGGUUCUGACGUGCAAAUCGAUCGUCAAACAUGGGCAUGGGGGCGAAAGACUAAUCGAACCUUCUAGUAGCUGGUUUCCGCCGAAGUUUCCCUCAGGAUAGCAGUGUUGAACUCAGUUUUAUGAGGUAAAGCGAAUGAUUAGGGACUCGGGGGCUAUAUAUUGCCUUCAUCCAUUCUCAAACUUUAAAUAUGUAAGAAGCUCUUGUUGCUUAAUUGAACGUGAGCAUUCGAAUGUAUCAACACUAGUGGGCCAUUUUUGGUAAGCAGAACUGGCGAUGCGGGAUGAACCGAACGCGAGGUUAAGGUGCCAGAGUAGUCGCUCAUCAGACACCACAAAAGGUGUUAGUACAUCUUGACAGCAGGACGGUGGCCAUGGAAGUCGGAAUCCGCUAAGGACUGUGUAACAACUCACCUGCCGAAUGUACUAGCCCUGAAAAUGGAUGGCGCUCAAGCGACUCACCCAUACCUCGCCCUCAGGGUAGAAACGAUGCCCUGAGGAGUAGGCGGACGUGGAG
RNAcentral lists this ribosomal RNA (1299 nucleotides) under Clonostachys pityrodes. Its description in RNAcentral is "eukaryotic LSU rRNA". It matches the Rfam family "Eukaryotic large subunit ribosomal RNA", at positions 62 to 1396 of the family's 3401-position model. Lineage: Eukaryota; Fungi; Ascomycota; Sordariomycetes; Hypocreales; Bionectriaceae. The record is from RNAcentral.